UACGUAGGGUGCGAGCGUUAAUCGGAAUUACUGGGCGUAAAGGGCGCGUAGGCGGCACGGCAAGUCGGGAGUGAAAGGCCUGGGCUCAACCGAGGAACUGCUUUCGAGACUGCCGAGCUAGAGUGCGGAAGGGGCAACUGGAAUUCCCAGUGUAGCGGUGAAAUGCGUAGAUAUUGGGAAGAACACCUGAGGCGAAGGCGGGUUGCUGGGCCGACACUGACGCUGAGGCGCGAAAGCCAGGGGAGCAAACGGG
This 253-nucleotide ribosomal RNA is filed under the name uncultured bacterium. RNAcentral describes it as "partial 16S ribosomal RNA". It matches the Rfam family "Bacterial small subunit ribosomal RNA", at positions 524 to 776 of the family's 1533-position model. The record is from RNAcentral.